This 1017-nucleotide ribosomal RNA is filed under the name uncultured bacterium. RNAcentral's name for it is "bacterial SSU rRNA". It matches the Rfam family "Bacterial small subunit ribosomal RNA", at positions 9 to 1021 of the family's 1533-position model. The record is from RNAcentral.
GAGUUUGAUCCUGGCUCAGGAUUAACGCUGGCGGCGUGCCUAACACAUGCAAGUCGAACGCCCAGCACCUUUUUACAGCGCUUCAGGCGCUCCAUUCGCUUCGCGAAUGUGACCGGAGUACCGGUCGGUGAAAAGGUGCUGGGAGUGGCGGACGGCUGAGUAACACGUUGGUACCUGCCCCUGACUCGGGGAUAAGCGCUGGAAACGGCGUCUAAUACCCGAUACCCUCUUCGGAGGAAAGCUUUUGCGGUUAGGGAGGGGCCUGCGCAUGAUUAGUUUGUUGGUGAGGUAACGGCUCACCAAGGCUUCGAUCAUUAGAUGGUCUGAGAGGAUGAUCAUCCAGACUGGGACUGAGACACGGCCCAGACUCCUACGGGAGGCAGCAGUGAGGAAUCUUGCACAAUGGGGGAAACCCUGAUGCAGCAACGCCGCGUGGAGGAAGACGGCCUUCGGGUUGUAAACUCCUUUUAUCAAGGACGAACAUUGACGGUACUUGAUGAAUAAGAGGUGGCUAACUAUGUGCCAGCAGCCGCGGUAAUACAUAGACCUCAAGCGUUAUCCGGAUUUACUGGGCGUAAAGCGUGCGUAGGUGUCUUGGUAAGUCUCUGGUGAAAUCUCCGAGCUCAACUCGGAAACGGUCAGAGAAACUAUCAGGAUAGAGUGUCGCAGAGGCAGACGGAAUGCUAGGUGUAGCGGUAAAAUGCGUAGAUAUCUAGCAGAACACCGAUGGCGAANGCAGUCUGCUGGGCGAUCACUGACACUGANGUACGAAAGCGUGGGGAGCGAACGGGAUUAGAUACCCCGGUAGUCCACGCCGUAAACGAUGGGUACUANGUAUCUGGGGCAUANACCCCCUGGGUAUCGAANCUAACGCGUUANUACCCGCCNGGGGAGUACNGCCCAAGGCUAAACUCAAAGAAUUGACGGGAACCCCACANCGGNGANCGUGUGGUUANUGCGACCUAACNCAAACNUACCAGNNUGAAUCCNANAUCCUCNAAAGAGGAUGCCCANGAC